This 1357-nucleotide long non-coding RNA is filed under the name Microcebus murinus (gray mouse lemur). RNAcentral's name for it is "lncRNA (ENSMICG00000048176.1)". Lineage: Eukaryota; Metazoa; Chordata; Mammalia; Primates; Cheirogaleidae. The record is from RNAcentral.
CGCAAAAGGACAGGGGAGGGCCUGUCCCCUGGGGACUCAGAUUCCAGGCAGGGAAGGCACGGAGAGGAGAGGACGAGGAGUGCUGAGAACAAUAGACAACAGGGCUAUGUGUGAGCGUCCCAGGGGGCAGGUUCAGAUCGGGUGGCGGAAGGCCUGUCUGGCAAAGGGACAUUUGCGUGGCUGCCCUAGUGCUGAGGACGCAGGGCGAGGCACUGCAAACAAAGGUUCAGCUUCUACGGAAGCUUAGCGGGUCCAAGGAGGGCUGUGGCACAGGGGUGGCACAAUCCCAUUUGCGUUUUCCCUAUGCCGUUUGCCUGCUCUGAGGAGAGUGCGUGGUAGGAAGAGGGAACAUGGAAUCAGACCAGAGAGGAGCAACUUCCCGGCUCCGGAAACACAUACGUGGUGACCAGGCCAGGCAGCCGGGAGCAGUCAGCACAGAAACGCACCCAGCUUCCUUGGAAUCCGAAGCAGCAUUGAUCUCGUUUGGUGGGAGAAACUGGAGCUCCUGGCUGAUAGGAAUCUGCAGGACGCCUGGAGAGCAGCCCUGGGCUGCCAACGCCCCAGCCGCCCACCUCAGCCCUGCUUCCCGCUGGAGUCCUCCUCGCCUGCCCGACCCCUGCCUGUUUUCCUCCUGGGUGAAAUGAGAGUACUGCCCCAGAGGAAUUCAGAAGACGCCCUCUCUUGUAGCCUGGAGAAAUAAUUAAAAUAAUCACAAACAUGUGUUAAGGGCGUGGCUCAGAACCCAGCUGGAGAGUAACUGUUCACCCAGCCUCGGUCUCCCACUCUCUGGGCCCCCCAAACCCCGGCUGAAAGGGGCAGCCUUGCAAAAAUAACAGGAAAAUGCCUAAUCCUACAAUUUCCCCAGUAACGGUUCAAGAUCAACCCUAUGAGUUCUCUCACUAACAGGUACCCUGCAGGAGUUCUGUUUUGCACAACUUCUGAAGAUAGCUGAAUGGGCAGAAGAGAGAUGUCAAUCUCUCUUCCAAAAUUGUUUUUUUUAGAACCUGCUUUUACAGAGUUCUUGAGUAAACAGCAGGAGACCGAGCUACAGCCUCAACCAUAUCUUGAGGACAGAGUCACAUCUCCUGUGAUAAUCCCUCCUCCAAGGAAAGGCAGAAAACCAAGUCUUGGACUUUGACAUCCUUGCAGCUUUUGUUAUCUACCCGCUGCCACUUUUGUUAUCAACUGACAGCUGUCACUAUUUUUUCCUUCUCUUGGUCCCCCUUAAAAUCAGCGAGCCACUUGGCCUUGCUACUGGCACCCCUGCUAUUUCUUUUGGGAUGCCACGCCCAGCUCCCUGCUCUCUUCCUCCCCUUCCCCUCUCUCUUUCUCCCUCUUUCUCUCACUCUCUUAUUCU